This 253-nucleotide ribosomal RNA is filed under the name uncultured bacterium. RNAcentral's name for it is "partial 16S ribosomal RNA". It matches the Rfam family "Bacterial small subunit ribosomal RNA", at positions 524 to 776 of the family's 1533-position model. The record is from RNAcentral.
UACAGAGGUCUCAAGCGUUGUUCGGAUUCAUUGGGCGUAAAGGGUGCGUAGGUGGCGGGGUAAGUCAGGUGUGAAAUCUCGAGGCUCAACCUCGAAACUGCACUUGAUACUGCCUUGCUGGAGUACUGGAGAGGAGAUUGGAAUUUACGGUGUAGCGGUGAAAUGCGUAGAUAUCGUAAGGAAGACCAGUGGCGAAGGCGGGUCUCUGGACAGUUCCUGACGCUGAGGCACGAAGGCCAGGGGAGCAAACGGG